This 253-nucleotide ribosomal RNA is filed under the name uncultured bacterium. Its description in RNAcentral is "partial 16S ribosomal RNA". It matches the Rfam family "Bacterial small subunit ribosomal RNA", at positions 524 to 776 of the family's 1533-position model. The record is from RNAcentral.
UACGGGGGGGGCAAGCGUUGUUCGGAAUUACUGGGCGUAAAGGGCGUGUAGGUGGCCAACUAAGUCCGACGUGAAAUCCCCAGGCUUAACCUGGGAACUGCGUCGGAUACUGGAUGGCUUGAAUUCGGGAGAGGGAUGCAGAAUUCCAGGUGUAGCGGUGAAAUGCGUAGAUAUUGGGAGGAAUACCGGUGGCGAAGGCGGCUCCCUGGACCGGUACUGACGCUGAGGCGCGAAAGCGUGGGUAGCAAACAGG